RNAcentral lists this ribosomal RNA (177 nucleotides) under Triticum aestivum (bread wheat). RNAcentral's name for it is "partial small subunit ribosomal RNA". The record is from RNAcentral. Lineage: Eukaryota; Viridiplantae; Streptophyta; Magnoliopsida; Poales; Poaceae.
AGGAAGGGCAUCUCCUCGCUCAUCCUGCUCGCGGCAUGGUCUCUCUGGAAACACCGAAACGCCUGUGUCUUCGAUGGUUGCACCCCUUCCGUUACUCGGCUCAUGCAGUCCAUCAAGGAAGACGUGCACUCCUGGAAGUGUGCCGGUGCACAGGGCCUCUCUACGAUCGCGCCGUAG